CGGGAAGUGGCCUAGUGGCUAUGGCGCUCGGUUUGGGACCGAGAGGUCGCAGGUUCGACUCCUGUCUUCCCGA
Molecule: transfer RNA, 73 nt
Organism: Lasius niger
Lineage: Eukaryota; Metazoa; Arthropoda; Insecta; Hymenoptera; Formicidae
Rfam family: tRNA
About the family: Transfer RNA (tRNA) molecules are approximately 80 nucleotides in length. Their secondary structure includes four short double-helical elements and three loops (D, anti-codon, and T loops).
Source: Rfam